UAUACGCUCGCUGUUAGUUUUCGUCUAAAUCCGCGAGCCUCCUGCCUCCUGCCUCCUGGAUCUGAUUUCUGGAUCACAUAUAAAUAUUACAACAAAUGACCAACGCAAACAAGCCUCAAGAGCUAGAAUCCGGUAUAUUUUGACCCACCCAAUCGUACCUUUCUCCGUCUCUGUUUUUGCAAUUUUCUCUGAAUCUCAGUAUUCCUUCUUCAGCGACCCAGCACUGGUACGCCCCCCAAAACCCUAAUCCCAACUUUUGGAAUCAAUGUCGAUUGCUCACUGCGCUUAAUUUUGGAUUGAUCUGGUAGAUUAAGAGGACGGGUUUUUCAGAAUUGGCAUUACUCUGUCGUGAUCAGUUAGUUUAUACAGUUUAUUCUGAAAUUCUAAAUCUUGUGGAUUGUUCCUUUCUUUUUGUAUUAUUGAUCCGUAAUCGGGUGUUGAAACUUGGGGCGCUAGCGAUCUGGAUUUCGUAUUUUGCUUUGUUUUAUGGUGAAUCGAUGUGAGUUUGCGCUGUACCUUCUCAUAAUUAUGUGAGUCCGAUGGUACAAUCUAGUGGAAACAGUAUACCCAUGUUAUUUGGAAAGUGUGAACGGUGGUGGUUCUAAUGCUUGUAGUAAUUGUCUGGAUUCAACGUAAACAUACACUGAAGCUUGUAUGUUAGGUUCAAGGAAUUGGGUAUUGAGUGGGUAUUCUUAAUUCAAUUGUUGAAGGGAGUUGCACGAUUUGGACAUGAGAAGCUCUUGGUUGAAUAAACUAUCCGUCAUUUUUGGCCCUAGACCGCCACUCAGCUGGUUACUGUUGUGCCUCAUUAGCUUGCUCGCACUAAUUGCAGUUUUAGGAUCUUCUUCCUCGAAUGCCUUUGACUCUGUCACUCCCACUCCAGUGCCUGACGAUUAUUUGAAUUAUAGAAGGUUAAAGGAGCAGACAGCAGUUGAUUAUUUGGAGCUGAAGUCUUUCUCAGUCGGAGCUAGUCGGCAAAGAGAGCUUAGCCUUUGUGGCAAAGAAAGAGAAAAUUAUGUGCCUUGUCACAAUGUUUCAGCAAAUUUGUUAGCUGGGUUUAAAGAUGGGGAGGAGUUUGAUCGGCAUUGUGAAGUUUCUAGAGAAUUGGAGCGGUGUUUGGUUCGCCCUCCUAAGGACUAUAAGACCCCCCUGAAGUGGCCCGCUGGUAGGGAUGUGAUAUGGAGUGGAAAUGUGAAGAUAACCAAAGACCAAUUUCUUUCGUCAGGAAGCAUGACCAAAAGGUUGAUGUUACUGGAAGAGAAUCAAAUUGCUUUCCACUCUGAGGAUGGGUUGAUCUUUGAUGGUGUUAAAGACUACUCUCGCCAAAUUGCAGAGAUGAUAGGGUUAGGAAGCGAUUCUGAAUUUCUUCAAGCUGGAGUGCAUACUGUACUAGAUAUUGGUUGUGGAUUUGGUAGCUUCGGAGCUCAUUUAGUCUCAUUGAAGUUAAUGGCUGUUUGUAUUGCGGCUUAUGAGGCAACUGGCAGCCAAGUCCAGUUGGCCCUUGAGAGAGGUCUUCCGGCAAUGAUUGGGAACUUUAUUUUGAGACAGCUUCCAUAUCCAUCAUUGUCAUUUGACAUGGUUCAUUGUGCUCAGUGUGGCAUUGUUUGGGACAAAAAAGAUGGAAUGUUCCUCAUAGAAGUCGACCGGUUACUCAAGCCUGGAGGUUACUUUGUAUUAACCUCACCUACAAGCAAGCUACAAGGGAGUUCAGUGAGUAUGAAGAAGAGAAACAUGUUAACACCAUUGGAAGAAUUGACCCAGGAAAUCUGUUGGAGUCUUCUAGCUCAGCAAGAUGAAACUUUUGUCUGGCAGAAAACUGUGGAUACUGAUUGCUAUGCAUCUCGCAAGCAGGGUGCUAUACCACUUUGUAAAGAAGGGCAUGAUGCUCAAUCAUAUUAUCAGCCCCUUGUAUCGUGUGUAAGUGGGACCUCUAGCAAACGCUGGAAUCCAAUCCAGAACAGAUCCUCUGGUUCCCAGUUGAGCUCAGCUGAGCUUGAAAUUCAUGGAGUUCUGCCUGAAGAUUUCUUUGACAACUUGCAGUUUUGGCGAUCAGCUUUGAAAAACUAUUGGUCUUUGCUUACACCCUUAAUUUUCUCCGACCACCCAAAGAGGCCUGGUGAUGAGGACCCAUUACCGCCAUAUAACAUGAUACGCAAUGUGAUGGACAUGAGUGCUCAUUACGGGGCUUUAAAUGCUGCAUUUUUGGAGGAGAAAAAAUCAGUAUGGGUAAUGAAUGUUGUGCCUGUCAGAGCUCCUAAUACACUUCCUCUUAUACUUGAUCAAGGCUUUGCUGGUGCUCUGCAUGAUUGGUGUGAACCUUUCCCCACAUACCCCAGGACAUACGAUAUGCUUCAUGCAAAUGGGCUCCUUUCACAUCUCGCUUCAGAGAGGUGCAGCGCAAUGGACUUAUUCUUGGAGAUGGACCGAAUACUGCGCCCUGAGGGAUGGGCUGUUCUUUCUGAUAAAGUGGGAGCUAUAGAGAUGGCACGCACAAUUGCUACACAAAUACGAUGGGAAGCAAGGGUGAUUGACCUUCAGAAUGGCAGUGACCAGCGGCUGCUUGUUUGCCAGAAACCAUUCAUUAAGAAAUGAUAGAUUGAGCAUCUGGAGGUCUCGCCUUUUCAAAAGUGUACAUUUUUUUUGCUCUGGGUUUCGAUCAUUUGAUAGCAUAUAUCCAUAUAAUAUAUGCUUAGAGCCUGAUGGAUCUGACGCUGUCCACCAUUGAACGAGAGGGCAUGUGGAGGCUGUAGAUUAAAGAGGUUUGCCACACAAAGUAGCUGCAAAUCAGAUUUUUUUUUUUUUUUGGUCAGAGCGCUUGUAGCAAUUCAUUCAUCCAAUUUUUUUUCGCAUUUUUUUUUUCAAAAAAAAAAUCUUUAUUGAUUGAUUUUGGACUGCUUAUCUUGGAAUUAAACAAUCGCUGCUGUUGAGGAUAGAAUGUGAAAUGGCAACGAAAUGUAAAAGAGCUAAAAAUUGUAUCUGUAGACAUUUUCUCUUCUCCCUCGGGAAUAUUAUAGUAUCUUAUUGAUCA
This is an RNA transcript of Alnus glutinosa, 3028 nucleotides long. It is a transcript of the gene named probable methyltransferase PMT5, with no coding region annotated. The record is from RefSeq and is a predicted model, not a curated record. Lineage: Eukaryota; Viridiplantae; Streptophyta; Magnoliopsida; Fagales; Betulaceae. The transcript is spliced from 10 exons.